Molecule: long non-coding RNA, 767 nt
Organism: Dalotia coriaria
Lineage: Eukaryota; Metazoa; Arthropoda; Insecta; Coleoptera; Staphylinidae
Exons: 2
Source: RefSeq, a predicted model, not a curated record
CGCUUCACCGCAGGUGCGUUGUUCGCGUCCUAUCAGUGUGUAGUUUUCGUGACAUGUGUAUGUUGCUACAGCCCCGAAUGUUGUUCUGCGGUUCUUCAAUGUAACUGUGCCAUGCUCCAAGUCAGGGCAUUGGUACUGAAUUGAGCCACCGACAUUGAAAUUCUUGCCGGUGAUCGUGGUAUUCAGUUGUUUGUCGGGGCUUCCGCACGAUGAAGGAUCUGUAAAUGGUGGGAUUAAAAUGAAAAAUACUUAAACUGAUCACGAAGUACUUAAAUAUUGACUUGAAGCAAUGAUAUUAAAAUUAUUCUCAUACGGCACGCAUUUUUCAAGGUUUUGAGAAGAAUUAUAAUAAACUUAUUCAUCUGUUUCGCGCAAUUACUAGUGUAAUUGUUAAUGAGAUUAUAAAACAAUUGUAAAAAGAAGUACAAUGAAAUCGUGAUGAAACCAGUGCCACUAGGUAUAAAUCAAGUAAAUAUUAUUCAAUAGAAAUAUCUUCUUUGGUAUUUAUAAGAUUUUACGCAAAUUAUUGUUUAUUGUUUAUUGUUAGUAUCGAUAGAUAAUUCUCACGGGCGAGAAUAACAACAAACCUAUAUUAAUCAGGUGUUGUUUGUCAUUUUAGUUAUUUCUUGUAUUUUGAUUUAUUUCUAAUUCAAUUAAUAUUAUUUGUUUGUAAUUAAACUAAACUAUAUUAUAUUCUACGCAUGAAACACUUAAAAUAGGAAGAAAGCAAUUCCAUUAUUUAAAAUAAUAGAAACACUUAUGACUUA